Molecule: unclassified non-coding RNA, 2199 nt
Filed under: Hevea brasiliensis (rubber tree)
Lineage: Eukaryota; Viridiplantae; Streptophyta; Magnoliopsida; Malpighiales; Euphorbiaceae
Source: RNAcentral
AUAAAUCAGAAUAUCAUCAAAAUACAACUAUAAAUUUUCCAAUGAAAGUACACAAAACAUGAUUCAUUAAUCUCAUGAAAGUACUUGGUGCAUUAGUUAGCCCAAAUGGCAUCACUAACUACUCAUAUAAAUCAUGCUUUGUUUUAAAUGCAAUUUUUCAUUCAUCACCCUCUUUCAUUCUAAUCUAAUGACAGCCACUCAUCAAAUCUGUUCAGAUUGCCUCCUUCAAUGUUCUGAACUGUAACUGAGCUCGUGUACUCAUCUAGCUUGGCUUUAAUUGUCUCUCCUACCGACUUUUCUUGUUUAUUUUUUGCCCCCCAAGUUUCUGAACUGUUCCUCUUGUGUAUUUGAAAUGAUGUGCAUAAUUGAAGCGGUUGCAUAACCAAAUAUUACUGGAAUCUCACCAACCAUUAAACAAUCCUCUUCAUGUGUCUUGAUCUUGUUAAGCGUCAGAUGAAUCAUCAUCAUUACCCCAUCCUGUAGGCUGAUUAAAGUGGUAUGUCAGUUGAGGAUGGUUUAGAGUAUUUGAUAUAGAAAUCAAACUUGUCCGACGGUUGACCAAGCAAAUUCCACUCCUGAGUUGGUAGUAACUGAUGCUCUUCUUUGUCUUGAUUCUAAUUUUCGUUGUUAUCCUUAGUACCAAAGUCCCUCCAUGGUGCCGUUUGGCCCUCAGUCGCUAUAACCUUUUCUGUCCCCUAGUUAGCGGCCUAGGAAACUUCUUGUGUUGAACCAUAUUUCAUUUGCCAACAGGUGUGUCUCCAAAUGGUACUACGAACUGAACCUUUUCUUCUAUUGCAUUUGGCUUUGAUGCCCAGAUCCUGUGGUUUGUCUCACAGGUGCAACCUUUCUUUUUGGCCUCGUCUGCUGUCUAUCAGGAACCUUGUAGAUCUGCUAUUUAGGAACCCAAGUCAGCUUCAGCUUUGGUCCAUAAUCUUUCUAUGUGUGAUAUCUAGCUUUUCCGAUCCCAAAAGUGCCUUUAGAUUAAUAUUGUUGAUAUUGACUGUUAUCACUGGUGGAAAUGGGUCCUCAUCUAUCAACAUUCAGCUUACGCUUUUCUCCAUGAAUUUGGAAACAACUUUGUUGAUCUUGUCCUCGACCAAAUUUCUGAAUGUCCAAUAGUAGUUGUUAUGAUGAGUCCAAACAUUGUGGUAUUUACAGUAGUGUUUGCCCUUCACCUCUUCUUUGGAUGCCAAUUUGUCUCCCUAUGGAAGAGUCAAACUUUUCCUUUAAAAAAAAAAAUCAAAAUCUCUUCUGCCCUUGUUAUGUCAAAAGAAUACUGUUACUGGGGUGGCAAAGGGUUAGAAGAGGCUCUUCUUCAUGGUUUUGGAGGUUUUGUCUGUUUACAUAAAGCAAGAUAGACACAACUUCUCAUGUUAGCAAAAUCAGUAAUAUGGGCAUCAUGAAAUAUUUUCUAAAAAUAUGUGUCCAUGGAGGUUUUCCUUUUUUGGUUUUCUUCUCUAAGCAGUUCUUCAUAACUUGUCAUUUUCGUAGCAAGCUCAAAGAAAUUCUUGAAUUCCAUGUCUUGAAAUUUCUUUCUAAGCUCAAUAUCUAGGUUGCCUUGGGCCAACUUGACAAACUUACAUUCAGGUAAAAAUUUGCAUCUAUUGCGCAUAUUCUUAAACCUAGCAAUGUAUAAGUCCACAGAUCUCCUGGCCUUUUGGUAAAUCCUAGAUAAUUCAGCAAUAGAUACUUUAUGUUCAAUUUUAUAAAAUUGUGUGUAAAAUAAGUGCUCUAUGUCUUGUCAAGUGUGCACAGUUUCUCUAAGUAAUGAAGCAUAAUAAGAAGAAGCAACUGCUAUUAUGAAAUUGGGAAACAACUAUGUUAAAUGUCAAAAUUGUUAUAAGUAGUGGGUUCACCACAUUGAACAGUAAAUCUACCAAUAUGUUCUAAGGUGGAUUGUAUGCUAUCACCUGAGAAUAAAGUGAAUUCAGAUAUCUUAUAACCUUUAGGGUAGGGAUUAUUCUUAUCCAUCUAGGUGGGAUAGGGUUUGUGAAACUCAGGACGGCCUACCUGUCGAAGGCUAGCAAGUGAGGAAGGUGAGUUUGUCAUCAGCCAAGGAACAAGAGAAAACCCCACCAUAGGCCUUGGGAGGACCUACGGUGGCGUGCAAGGAAGAGGAAAGGGCGGUGCCAAUUAGGAAAAGGGAAGGAAGAGGAAGAAACGCGAAGAAAAAAUCCUUUGUUGAUAGGAUGAGAUGGA